AGAGUUUGAUCCUGGUUCAGGAUGAACGCUAGCUACAGGCUUAACACAUGCAAGUCGAGGGGAGACGACAUCGAAAGCUUGCUUUUGAUGGGCGUCGACCGGCGCACGGGUGAGUAACGCGUAUCCAACCUGCCCACCACUUGGGGAUAACCUUGCGAAAGUAAGACUAAUACCCAAUGACGUCUCUAGAAGACAUCUGAAAGGGAUUAAAGAUCUAUCGGUGAUGGAUGGGGAUGCGUCUGAUUAGCUUGUUGGCGGGUAACGCCACAAGGCUACGAUCAGUAGGGGUUCUGAGAGGAAGGUCCCCACAUUGGAACUGAGACACGGUCCAAACUCCUACGGGAGGCA
RNAcentral lists this ribosomal RNA (348 nucleotides) under uncultured bacterium. RNAcentral's name for it is "bacterial SSU rRNA". It matches the Rfam family "Bacterial small subunit ribosomal RNA", at positions 8 to 350 of the family's 1533-position model. The record is from RNAcentral.